RNAcentral lists this ribosomal RNA (363 nucleotides) under Actaea acantha. RNAcentral's name for it is "partial 12S small subunit ribosomal RNA". The record is from RNAcentral. Lineage: Eukaryota; Metazoa; Arthropoda; Malacostraca; Decapoda; Xanthidae.
UAUUAUACUGGUAAAUAUAAGUAAACCUGAAUUAUUAAUAGAUAUCUUCUUUAAAUUUGAAGAAUUUGGCGGUGGUUUAAUCUUGUUAGAGGAACCUGUUUUUGAAUCGAUACACCACGUAAUAUCUUACUUAUUUUAUUUAGUUUAUAUACCGUCAUUAUCGGAUAAUUUUUAAAGAAUAGAAUUAUUGGAGUUUAAGUAAAAUGCAAACUAAAUUAGAUCAAGGUGUAGCUUAUAAAUAAGUUGGAAUGGGUUACAAUAAAAUUUAUUUACACGGAAUGAUUGUUAAGAAGUAAUAUCACGAAGGAGGAUUUAAUUGUAAUUGGAGUUUAAUAAGCUUUAAAGAUAUAGGCUCUAAAUCAU